UACGAAGGGAGCUAGCGUUGUUCGGAAUCACCGGGCGUAAAGCGCACGUAGGCGGAUUUGCCAGUCAGGGGUGAAAUCCCGGGGCUCAACCUCGGAACUGCCUUUGAUACAGCAAGUCUUGAGUUCGAGAGAGGUGGGUGGAAUUCCUAGUGUAGAGGUGAAAUUCGUAGAUAUUAGGAAGAACACCGGUGGCGAAGGCGGCCCACUGGCUCGACACUGACGCUGAGGUGCGAAAGCGUGGGGAGCAAACAGG
RNAcentral lists this ribosomal RNA (253 nucleotides) under uncultured bacterium. Its description in RNAcentral is "partial 16S ribosomal RNA". It matches the Rfam family "Bacterial small subunit ribosomal RNA", at positions 524 to 776 of the family's 1533-position model. The record is from RNAcentral.